This 74-nucleotide transfer RNA is filed under the name Desulfurellaceae bacterium. RNAcentral describes it as "tRNA-Arg". It matches the Rfam family "tRNA". Rfam says of the family: Transfer RNA (tRNA) molecules are approximately 80 nucleotides in length. RNAcentral also lists the same sequence under 1 other name. The record is from RNAcentral. Lineage: Bacteria; Pseudomonadati; Campylobacterota; Desulfurellia; Desulfurellales; Desulfurellaceae.
GCCCCCGUAGCUCAGGAGGAUAGAGCACCGGAUUCCUAAUCCGGGUGUCGUGCGUUCGAAUCGCGCCGGGGGCA